Molecule: long non-coding RNA, 966 nt
Filed under: Homo sapiens (human)
Lineage: Eukaryota; Metazoa; Chordata; Mammalia; Primates; Hominidae
Description: non-protein coding lnc-FRG1-2:1
Source: RNAcentral
AUGACUAUUUGCAUGUUUUCUGCACACUAGAUGGAGUGCAGAGUGUGUUGCCUGUUUUUCUCCACCGCUCCAUCCUCAGUGCCUGCUACGGUGUUGGACACACAGUAGAGGUUCAGUAAAUGCUAAUGAACAGUCGAUUAAAUGAGCAAAAACCUUUAUUGAAUACCUACCAUGUUCCAGACAUGGCUAACUGAUGAGAAUUUACCAAUUACAUGCUUGCUGCCUUCAGGGAACUCGACCUCACAAGACAGACUGUCACGUAGAGACAACUGCUACACAACAUGGGAAGAACUGCUAUAGAGAUGUAAAGAUGUAAAGACCCAAAAUGAAGAAGCCAGAACACAUGAACACGAAACCAGCCAACCAACAAACACAAGCAGCAUGGAGCAUAGAGUCUGGGGACCAACUGCAGGGUGCUGAGGAAUGCAGCAGUUACAAACAAACAAACUCACUCACCAAAGAAAACACCAAACAAACAUACAUCCAAUAGUAUUGUGUCCGGAAUUGGUGGGUUCUUGGUCUAACUGACUUCAAGAAUGAAGCCACGGACCCUUGCGGUGAGUGUUACAGUUCCUAAAGAUGGUGUGUCCAGAGUUUGUUCAUUCAGAUGUUCAGAUGGGUCCAGAGUUUCUUCCUUCUGGUGGGUUUGUGGUCUAACUGGCUUCAGGAAUGAAGGUGCAGACCUUCACGGUGUUACAGCUCAUAAAGAUAGCGCAGACCCAAAGAGUGAGCAGCAGCCGCCAAAGACGGUGCAGACCCAAAGAGUGAGCAGCAGCAGGAUUUAUUGCCAAAGGCAAAAGAACAAAUCUUCCACAAUCUGGAAGAGGACCCUAGCCGGUUGCCACUGCUAGCUCGGGCAGCCUGCUUUUAUUCCCUUAUCUGGCCCCACCCACAUCCUACUCAUUGGCUCAUUUUAGAGAGAGCUGAUUGGUCCAUUUUACAGAAAGCUGAUUGGGCCGUUUUACA